UCGUUAUCAGCUGGAACCAGUCUGGCUGUUAUCCUCUGAUCUCUGGCAUCAACAAGGCCAAAUUUGCUCCCACAGAACUGAACUGCAGCUCACUGGAUAUUUUCUCUUUUUCAGAUCAUUCUCUGUAAACUCUAGAGAUGGUUUUGGGUGAAAAUCCCAGUAGAUCAGCAGUUUCUGAAAUACUCAGACCAACAACCAAUCACGCCACGUCUUGGCCGUGUCUACAUGCCUCAAUGCACUGAGUUGCUGACAUGUGAUUGGCUGAUUCAACAUUUGCGCUAAUGAGGUGCACCUAAUAAAGUGUCCGCUGAGUGUAUAUGUGUGUACAUAUAAAUAUAUAUGUUCUUUUUCUGUGGGGACAAGAUGGGUGUUAGUGUUUAACAUGUUCACACCCACACUCAGAAAAUGCAGAAAUAGUUUACUCUGUGGUCAUUUCCUGUCUUUACUUUCUGCUAUAUUUUAUUCUUCUACCAUCUCAUAUAUCACCCACUGAGACGCUUUCAUCAGGGUCUUUAGAUUUGAUGAAGUAAAAUCUGAGUGUAAUUUGAUCUCGUCUGAUUGCACAUUAAUGGGAGGUGUUUUAGAGUAAUGGAUAUUUCACUGUGCGGUUUAUAUUUAGAGGCUGGCUGAUUGGUUACACUUACCCUCCUCUGCAGAAUAAAGGAAGUUUCUGUGGUCGGUCUCUGUCUCUGUUUUCUGUGGUAUUUUAGUUCUCAUCUCUUUUUCUCUUGUCUGUUUCUCACGCUGGUCUGAUGGUGAUGGAGGGUUCUGGGUUCCUCUGGGUUCUCCUGCUGUGUGGACGGGUUCUGCUGGCCAGUAGUGAGUUUCAGUGUGUGAGUGUGAAAGAGAGAGAACGUGCAACUCUUCCCUGUGGAAAACUCACUAAAGGUAAAGUGACCUGGAGCAGAGAAAUCAAUGGACAGAGAGAGAGCAUUCUGACCACUCACGACGGAGAGAUAACCAGACACAUCUCUGAUCCAGACAGACAUUACAGUUCAGGAGCUAAUAUAGUACUGAUUAUACGGAAAGUCUCUCAGUCAGAUGCUGGAAGAUACUACUGUAAUGGAUUUACAGUGGAACUGAUCGUGAAUGGAAUCUGUAAGUGUGAAAAUAAAGCGUUAUUUCUCAAUAAUUAACAAUUCAUAUGCUGUUUAAGUUACUAACAUACUUUAUAAGGCUGAGCAUUAAAGCAAAUCCAUGUAUCAUA
This 1207-nucleotide long non-coding RNA is filed under the name Astyanax mexicanus (Mexican tetra). RNAcentral describes it as "lncRNA (ENSAMXG00005008750.1)". The record is from RNAcentral. Lineage: Eukaryota; Metazoa; Chordata; Actinopteri; Characiformes; Acestrorhamphidae.